Molecule: ribosomal RNA, 406 nt
Filed under: uncultured bacterium
Lineage: Bacteria
Description: partial 16S ribosomal RNA
Rfam family: Bacterial small subunit ribosomal RNA
Source: RNAcentral
AUUGAACGCUGGCGGCAGGCCUAACACAUGCAAGUCGAACGAGUGGCGGACGGGUGAGUAAUGUCUGGGGAACUGCCCGAUGGAGGGGGAUAACUACUGGAAACGGUAGCUAAUACCGCAUACCAUCGGAUGUGCCCAGAUGGGAGUAGCUUGUAGGUGAGGUAACGGCUCACCUAGGUGACGCUCCCUAGCGGGUCUGAGAGGAUGACCAGCAACACUGGGACGGAGACACGGUCCAGACUCCUACGGGAGGCAGCAGUGGGGAGUAUUGCACAAUGGGCGCAAGCCUGAUGCAGCCAUGCCGCGUGUAUGAAGAAGGCCUGAGGGUUGUAAAGUACUUUCAGCUGGGAGGCGUUACCGGCAGAAGAAGCACCGGCUAACUCCGUGCCAGCAGCCGCGGUAAUAC